UCCACCUUUUUGGGCAGAAACUGAUUCAGGGAUCUUCAGACAGAUUUUAUACGGCAAGCUGGAUUUCAACUCUGAACCAUGGCCCAACAUUUCAGAUAGUGCUAAAGAUUUAAUUAGGAAAAUGCUCACAAGGGAUCCAAAGGAGAGGAUCCCUGCCCACGAAGUUCUUUGUCACCCAUGGAUUGUAGACGACACAGUGGCCCCUGACAAGCCUAUAGACUCUGCAGUUUUGUCUCGGCUAAAGCAGUUUUCAG
RNAcentral lists this unclassified non-coding RNA (254 nucleotides) under Hevea brasiliensis (rubber tree). The record is from RNAcentral. Lineage: Eukaryota; Viridiplantae; Streptophyta; Magnoliopsida; Malpighiales; Euphorbiaceae.